GAUGAACGCUGGCGGCGUGCUUAACACAUGCAAGUCGAACGAAGCACUUUAAUCGAUUUCUUCGGAUUGAAAUUUUAGUGACUGAGUGGCGGACGGGUGAGUAACGCGUGGGUAAUCUGCCUCACACAGGGGGAUAACAGUUGGAAACGGCUGCUAAUACCGCAUAAGCGCACAGUACCGCAUGGUACGGUGUGAAAAACUCCGGUGGUGGGAGAGGGACCCGCGUCUGAUUAGCUAGUUGGCAGGGCAGCGGCCUACCAAGGCGACGAUCAGUAGCCGACCUGAGAGGGUGACCGGCCACAUUGGGACUGAGACACGGCCCAAACUCCUACGGGAGGCAGCAGUGGGGAAUAUUGCACAAUGGGGGAAACCCUGAUGCAGCGACGCCGCGUGAGCGAAGAAGUAUUUCGGUAUGUAAAGCUCUAUCAGCAGGGAAGAAGAAAUGACGGUACCUGACUAAGAAGCACCGGCUAAAUACGUGCCAGCCGCCGCGGUAA
Molecule: ribosomal RNA, 497 nt
Filed under: uncultured bacterium
Lineage: Bacteria
Description: partial 16S ribosomal RNA
Rfam family: Bacterial small subunit ribosomal RNA
Source: RNAcentral